GUGAAUCAUCAAAUUUUUGAACGCAAAUUGCACUCUCCUCUGUGAGUAUACCUGUUUGAGGGUCAGCAUAUAAAAAUCGACAUCGUUGCUGUUUCGCGGUGGCGUACGUCGGACAUUGGGUCAUCUUAAAUCCUUUUGGUUUUUAAGCGACUUAACAUUUUCUUUUUGGUUCCAUGAACGUUUCUAAGAUUUAUUUCUUUACACGUUUAAGGUAUCGAUUUUUAUUAGACGUGACCAUCAUAUCGGAUUGCGUCAAUAAGCCUUCAUUAACUGACCU
Molecule: unclassified non-coding RNA, 277 nt
Filed under: Glomus sp.
Lineage: Eukaryota; Fungi; Glomeromycota; Glomeromycetes; Glomerales; Glomeraceae
Description: partial contains 5.8S ribosomal RNA and internal transcribed spacer 2
Rfam family: 5.8S ribosomal RNA (bases 1-65)
Source: RNAcentral